RNAcentral lists this ribosomal RNA (206 nucleotides) under uncultured bacterium. Its description in RNAcentral is "partial 16S ribosomal RNA". It matches the Rfam family "Bacterial small subunit ribosomal RNA", at positions 568 to 773 of the family's 1533-position model. The record is from RNAcentral.
CGCGCAGGCGGUCAUGCGCGUCGGGCGUGAAGGCCCCCGGCUCAACCGGGGCGGGUCGCUCGAAACGGCAUGACUGGAGGGCGGCAGAGGCUGGUGGAAUUCCCGGUGUAGUGGUGAAAUGCGUAGAGAUCGGGAGGAACACCCGUGGCGAAGGCGGCCAGCUGGGCCGACCCUGACGCUGAGGCGCGAAGGCCCGGGGAGCGAAG